AAAUUGAAGAGUUUGAUCAUGGCUCAGAUUGAACGCUGGCGGCAGGCUUAACACAUGCAAGUCGAACGGUAGCAGGGAGAAAGCUUGCUUUCUUUGCUGACGAGUGGCGGACGGGUGAGUAAUGCUUGGGGAUCUGGCUUAUGGAGGGGGAUAACGACGGGAAACUGUCGCUAAUACCGCGUAAUGUCUAAGGACUAGAGGGUGGGACUUUCGGGCCACCUGCCAUAAGAUGAGCCCAAGUGGGAUUAGGUAGUUGGUGGGGUAAAGGCCUACCAAGCCGACGAUCUCUAGCUGGUCUGAGAGGAUGACCAGCCACACUGGAACUGAGACACGGUCCAGACUCCUACGGGAGGCAGCAGUGGGGAAUAUUGCACAAUGGGGGGAACCCUGAUGCAGCCAUGCCGCGUGAAUGAAGAAGGCCUUCGGGUUGUAAAGUUCUUUCGGUGAUGAGGAAGGGUGGUGUUUUAAUAGAGCAUUACAUUGACGUUAGUCACAGAAGAAGCACCGGCUAACUCCGUGCCAGCAGCCGCGGUAAUACGGAGGGUGCGAGCGUUAAUCGGAAUGACUGGGCGUAAAGGGCACGCAGG
RNAcentral lists this ribosomal RNA (587 nucleotides) under Glaesserella parasuis. Its description in RNAcentral is "bacterial SSU rRNA". It matches the Rfam family "Bacterial small subunit ribosomal RNA", at positions 1 to 575 of the family's 1533-position model. The record is from RNAcentral. Lineage: Bacteria; Pseudomonadati; Pseudomonadota; Gammaproteobacteria; Pasteurellales; Pasteurellaceae.